GAAAUGCGAUAAGUAAUGUGAAUUGCAGAAUUCAGUGAAUCAUCGAAUCUUUGAACGCACAUUGCGCCCCCUGGUAUUCCGGGGGGCAUGCCUGUUCGAGCGUCAUUUCACCACUCAAGCCUCGCUCGGUAUUGGGCAACGCGGUCCGCCGCGUGCCUCAAAUCGACCGGCUGGGUCUUCUGUCCCCUAAGCGUUGUGGAAACUAUUCGCUAAAGGGUGUUCGGGAGGCUACGCCGUAAAACAACCCCAUUUCUAAGGUUGACCUCGGAUCAGGUAGGGAUACCCGCUGAACUUAAGC
Molecule: unclassified non-coding RNA, 298 nt
Filed under: plant metagenome
Description: partial contains 5.8S ribosomal RNA, internal transcribed spacer 2, and large subunit ribosomal RNA
Rfam family: 5.8S ribosomal RNA (bases 1-105)
Source: RNAcentral